This 471-nucleotide ribosomal RNA is filed under the name uncultured bacterium. RNAcentral's name for it is "bacterial SSU rRNA". It matches the Rfam family "Bacterial small subunit ribosomal RNA", at positions 56 to 507 of the family's 1533-position model. The record is from RNAcentral.
UGCAGUCGUACGAGAAGCCUCUUCGGAGGUGAGUAAAGUGGCGCACGGGUGAGUAACGCGUGGGUAAUCUGCCCUUAGGUUUGGGAUAACCCCGGGAAACCGGAGCUAAUACCGAAUGAGACCACGAUGACUUCGGUCGAUGUGGGAAAAGGUGGCCUCUUCUUGAAAGCUACCGCCGAAGGAUGAGCCCGCGUUUGAUUAGCUUGUUGGUGAGGUAAAGGCUCACCAAGGCUCCGAUCAAUAGCUGGUCUGAGAGGACGAUCAGCCACACUGGAACUGAGACACGGUCCAGACUCCUACGGGAGGCAGCAGUCGGGAAUAUUGGGCAAUGGGCGAAAGCCUGACCCAGCAACGCCGCGUGAAGGAUGAAGGCCUUCGGGUCGUAAACUUCUGUCGAGAGGGAAGAAUUGCGUACGGUUAAUAUCCGUGCGUUUGACGGUACCUCCAAAGGAAGCACCGGCUAACUCCGUG